Molecule: ribosomal RNA, 498 nt
Filed under: uncultured bacterium
Lineage: Bacteria
Description: bacterial SSU rRNA
Rfam family: Bacterial small subunit ribosomal RNA
Source: RNAcentral
ACACGACUACGUAGUUUGAUCAUGGCUCAGGAUGAACGCUAGCGGCAGGCCUAAUACAUGCAAGUCAAGGGGAUAGCAAUAUCACCGGCGGACGGGUGCGUAACGCGUACACAACGUGCCCAAGGGCGGAGGAAAGCGGCGGGAAACUGCCGGUAAUACUCCAUGGUGUUGUUGAGUGGCAUCACUUAACAACUAAAGUACAAGCGCCCUUGGAUCGGUGUGCGUUCGAUUAGCUAGUUGGCGGGGUAACGGCCCACCAAGGCUUCGAUCGAUAGGGGGUGUGAGAGCAUGACCCCCCACACGGGUACUGAGACACGGACCCGACUCCUACGGGAGGCAGCAGUAAGGAAUAUUGGACAAUGGGCGGAAGCCUGAUCCAGCCAUGCCGCGUGAAGGACGAAGGCGCUCAGCGUUGUAAACUUCUUUUGGAUGGGAACAAUAACUCCGACUUGUCGGAACUUGAGGGUACCAUCAGAAUAAGCACCGGCUAACUCCGUG